GCCUGGCUAGCUGAGUUGGUAGAGCAUGUGACUCUUGAUCUUGGGGUGGUGAGUUCAAGCCCACGUUGGGUG
This 72-nucleotide transfer RNA is filed under the name Felis catus (domestic cat). It matches the Rfam family "tRNA". From Rfam's summary of the family: Transfer RNA (tRNA) molecules are approximately 80 nucleotides in length. Their secondary structure includes four short double-helical elements and three loops (D, anti-codon, and T loops). The record is from Rfam by way of RNAcentral. RNAcentral also lists the same sequence under 5 other names. Lineage: Eukaryota; Metazoa; Chordata; Mammalia; Carnivora; Felidae.